AUGAGGUAAGCAAAAGUAAAGGUUUCAGAAAGGAAGUACAACAGUUAAACACACCUCUCUGUAUGAGGAAAUGGUUUAAAGAGCAAAACCACAAUGGUGUCAAACCUUGACUUCUUUUGGGAGGAGCGUGAGAACAUGUCUUAUUCUAACAUGUAAAUAGCUCAUUUGUCACAUAUGGCUAUAUAUAGUCUACUUUAAAAACUGAUGUCACUCUUACUAGAUGUCAGAGCAAGCUCUUAGGUUAUGUUUAACAAAGACAAAACAUUUGUGUAAGUAAACCUGUUUUUAAUAGGUGUUUUAGGUUUUUACAUCACUGACAAAACUACUAUUAAAACAAAAUUACUAUAAAUUUACUAAGAACCUAUAAAUAGUGUGGUAUUCAUAUGCACAAAGACAAUGCAUUUGCAGUGAACAUUAGUAUGUUUGACACUAGAAAACACAAAACAUUAAAUUGGUCUACAAAAUUAACAUCUAGUCCAGCAGAUAUUUUGGAUUCUUGCAGUUAGGCCAUCUGAACAGCUGAUGUGACAGCCCCAUCUAGAGGAAAACAGGUGCAACUAUUUCCAUGGCAACUAGAUCCAGCAGUAGCCCUUGGCAACGGUUUCUGCAACUGAUCACUUCCUCAGGGAGCAUCCUACUUAUUUAAACAAGAGAUGUUGACAUGGAAAUAACAUAAUAUGGUUCAAAUUACGCUUAUAAGUGUAAUAGAAAAUUGCACUGGAUUUUUUUUUUAUUCUAAAAACGAUUCUGGAUCACUGUAUAGAUCAUAAGAAAUAACUCAAAUAUGUGAAAGUUUGAUUUCUAAAUUGCUUCAGAAUUGUUUUUACAAAAGCUCUUUAUACAUUCCUUUAAAGUAGAGUGUGGUACUGCAGAUUGUGUAAUAAAAAUGCAAGCAGAGGUUUGUGAGUGAGUUCUCUUGACUGACCGAGCAUGGAAAGCCUGCUAAAAUGGUCUACUCCUCCCUCUCAUUUAGUCAACAUUUGCGUCAUUAGUAUAGUCAAAUGCCUGACUCCGUAGAUGCUAAAUGAAAGCUUUUACUGCCAACAUACAGUCAGGCUUUAGAGCUGUGAAUUUCACAUUUACAAUGACAAGCAAUUUAUUAUACAAAUUUCAUCUUACACUUUUAACAUUCUGAUGUCCUUAAGAAGAGUUAAACUCUUUAUAUACAUAAUGAAAAAUAAUUAUUUAUAGUUAAGUGUUUCAUAAGGGAAUAUGGGAACAUAAAAACAUUGUAUUCAGGGAUUUUUCUCAACCAAUGUAUAAUAAUACAAAAGGGGGGAAAUAUGCACAUCCAAAACAGACAACAUGAAAUUAAACGAGGAAAAACUGCACACUGUUCAACUAUUCCCUUUAUUUUCAAAUAAAACAGCAACAAUUCAGUCAGAGAUCCUCAGAGAUUUAUGAAUGAAACAUUGCUGUUUUACUUUGAAAAUAAAGGAAAUAAUUGAACGUUGUGCCAAUUUUCCUUAUUAACAUUCAUAAAUACAGCAAAGCCUUGCGCUGAAAAUGAACAUCUGCUCGAACUAUACUCAAGAUGACCAACAUAAGUGCUCACGCACAAAAACUAAACUCACAGUCAUGAACACACACACACUUUCAAACAAAAGCUGCUAUCACACCACUCCUGACAUGCUCUCAUCUUCAGGUCCAACAACUACAGGCUGGCAGCAGUCGGUGCAAAUGUACCGCAGCACGCAGAGGUAAACACUGCCAGACAGUCCCACGGUCAGAGCCAGCAGGGUCAGACUCAGGUACGAUGGCCCAGGUUGGUAAGCAAAUUCACUGAGCAUGUCACUGUCCAUUACUGCAGGUAGUUCAGCG
This is a long non-coding RNA of Cyprinus carpio carpio, 1821 nucleotides long. The record is from Ensembl. Lineage: Eukaryota; Metazoa; Chordata; Actinopteri; Cypriniformes; Cyprinidae.